Molecule: ribosomal RNA, 465 nt
Filed under: Vreelandella stevensii
Lineage: Bacteria; Pseudomonadati; Pseudomonadota; Gammaproteobacteria; Oceanospirillales; Halomonadaceae
Description: partial 16S ribosomal RNA
Rfam family: Bacterial small subunit ribosomal RNA
Source: RNAcentral
CCUACGGGAGGCAGCAGUGGGGAAUAUUGGACAAUGGGCGAAAGCCUGAUCCAGCCAUGCCGCGUGUGUGAAGAAGGCCUUCGGGUUGUAAAGCACUUUCAGUGGGGAAGAAAGCCUUGGGGCUAAUACCCUCGAGGAAGGACAUCACCCACAGAAGAAGCACCGGCUAACUCCGUGCCAGCAGCCGCGGUAAUACGGAGGGUGCGAGCGUUAAUCGGAAUUACUGGGCGUAAAGCGCGCGUAGGCGGUCUGAUAAGCCGGUUGUGAAAGCCCCGGGCUCAACCUGGGAACGGCAUCCGGAACUGUCAGGCUAGAGUGCAGGAGAGGAAGGUAGAAUUCCCGGUGUAGCGGUGAAAUGCGUAGAGAUCGGGAGGAAUACCAGUGGCGAAGGCGGCCUUCUGGACUGACACUGACGCUGAGGUGCGAAAGCGUGGGUAGCAAACAGGAUUAGAUACCCCUGUAGUC